AUUGAACGCUGGCGGCAGGCUUAACACAUGCAAGUCGAGCGGGGUGAUGGUGCUUGCACUAUCACUUAGCGGCGGACGGGUGAGUAAUGCUUAGGAAUCUGCCUAUUAGUGGGGGACAACAUCUCGAAAGGGAUGCUAAUACCGCAUACGUCCUACGGGAGAAAGCAGGGGAUCACUUGUGACUUUUCGCUAAUAGAUGAGCCUAAGUCGGAUUGGGCAGUUUGUGGGGUAAAGUCCUCCCAAGGCGACGAUCUGUAGCGGGUCGGAGAGGAUGAUCCGCAACACUGGGACUGAGACACGGCCCAGACUCGUACGGGAGGCAGCAGUGGGGAAUAUUGGACGAUGGGGGGAACCCUGAUCCAGCCAUGCCGCGUGUGUGAAGAAGGCCUUAUGGUUGUAAAGCACUUUAAGCGAGGAGGAGGCUCUUUUGGUUAAUACCCAAGAUGAGUGGACGUUACUCGCAGAAUAAGCACCGGCUAACUCUGUGCCAGCCGCCGCGGUAA
This 503-nucleotide ribosomal RNA is filed under the name uncultured bacterium. Its description in RNAcentral is "partial 16S ribosomal RNA". It matches the Rfam family "Bacterial small subunit ribosomal RNA", at positions 30 to 523 of the family's 1533-position model. The record is from RNAcentral.